GUGCCAGCCGCGCGGUAAUACAGAGGGUGCAAGCGUUAAUCGGAAUUACUGGGCGUAAAGCGCGCGUAGGCGGUUUGGUCAGUCGGAUGUGAAAGCCCCGGGCUUAACCUGGGAAUUGCAUUCGAUACUGCCAGACUAGAGUGUAGUAGAGGGAAGUGGAAUUCCAGGUGUAGCGGUGAAAUGCGUAGAUAUCUGGAGGAACAUCAGUGGCGAAGGCGACUUCCUGGACUAACACUGACGCUGAGGUGCGAAAGCGUGGGGAGCAAACAGGAUUAGAUACCCCUGUAGUCC
RNAcentral lists this ribosomal RNA (291 nucleotides) under uncultured bacterium. RNAcentral describes it as "partial 16S ribosomal RNA". It matches the Rfam family "Bacterial small subunit ribosomal RNA", at positions 505 to 796 of the family's 1533-position model. The record is from RNAcentral.